Molecule: long non-coding RNA, 497 nt
Organism: Myotis lucifugus (little brown bat)
Lineage: Eukaryota; Metazoa; Chordata; Mammalia; Chiroptera; Vespertilionidae
Exons: 3
Source: RefSeq, a predicted model, not a curated record
UUGAGGCUCAAAUGGAUUUGGGCAACCAGUCAGGGAUAUUACAGAGCUGGGAUUUGAACCUCCAUCUACCUGACCUCAGAUGUCACCCUCUUUUCGCCAUACUUUGUUACCCUGAGCAGUUGUGUUUGGAGCUGGGGCUGUACAAGGAGGAGGAGAAUGAGAAGAAAGAAGAUGGAGGAGCGGACAUCCUGCCUGGCGAGAUAACACAAGAUGCUGACCACUGGCCUUGGAUUGUCUGCCCAUAAAAUGAUGGAGUUGAACCCGAGGAUCCCCAAUGUAGGGUCCCAGGAAGAGAGAAGGUGACAGCAGAAUCUAAAAAGCCUUCUUAGCGUUAGAAUCAUGAAAUGUUAGUGCGAAAAAGAAUCAUCGGCUGAACCACCUUCCUUUAUGUCUUAAAGGGACCUCUCAGGAGGGUACCGUCCUUCAGAAACCGGUGAGCGUGGCUCCCCACAUCACCUCUGGCUCAGGGAACACGGAGCUGUGGAGAGAAUGCGGAC